UGGGGAAUAUUGGACAAUGGGCGCAAGCCUGAUCCAGCCAUGCCGCGUGAGUGAUGAAGGCCUUAGGGUUGUAAAGCUCUUUCGGCGGGGACGAUAAUGACGGUACCCGCAGAAGAAGCCCCGGCUAACUUCGUGCCAGCAGCCGCGGUAAUACGAAGGGGGCUAGCGUUGCUCGGAAUCACUGGGCGUAAAGGGCGCGUAGGCGGACAUUUAAGUCGGGGGUGAAAGCCCAGGGCUCAACCCUGGAAUUGCCUCCGAUACUGGGUGUCUCGAGACCGGAAGAGGUGAGUGGAACUGCGAGUGUAGAGGUGAAGUUCGUAGAUACUCGCAAGAACACCAGUGGCGAAGGCGGCUCACUGGUCCGGUUCUGACGCUGAGGCGCGAAAGCGUGGGGAGCAAACAGGAUUAGAUACCCUGGUAGUCCACGCCGUAAACGAUGGAUGCUAGCCGUUGGCAGGCUUGCCUGUCAGUGGCGCAGCUAACGCUUUAAGCAUCCCGCCUGGGGAGUACGGCCGCAAGGUUAAAACUUAAAUGAAUUGACGGGGUCAUAGCUGUUUCCU
RNAcentral lists this ribosomal RNA (560 nucleotides) under uncultured bacterium. Its description in RNAcentral is "partial 16S ribosomal RNA". It matches the Rfam family "Bacterial small subunit ribosomal RNA", at positions 355 to 1375 of the family's 1533-position model. The record is from RNAcentral.